UACGGAGGAUGCGAGCGUUAUCCGGAUUUAUUGGGUUUAAAGGGUGCGUAGGCGGCCAUUUAAGUCAGCGGUGAAAUUUUGCAGCUUAACUGUAACAGUGCCGUUGAUACUGUUUGGCUAGGAUUUGGUUGUAGUGUGCGGAAUGUGUGGUGUAGCGGUGAAAUGCUUAGAUAUCACACAGAACACCGAUUGCGAAGGCAGCACACUAAGUCAUUAUUGACGCUGAGGCACGAAAGUGUGGGGAUCAAACAGGAUUA
Molecule: ribosomal RNA, 257 nt
Filed under: uncultured prokaryote
Description: partial 16S ribosomal RNA
Rfam family: Bacterial small subunit ribosomal RNA
Source: RNAcentral